RNAcentral lists this unclassified non-coding RNA (283 nucleotides) under Trichoderma sp. RNAcentral describes it as "partial contains 5.8S ribosomal RNA, internal transcribed spacer 2, and large subunit ribosomal RNA". The stretch from base 1 to 52 matches the Rfam family "5.8S ribosomal RNA", at positions 103 to 154 of the family's 154-position model. Lineage: Eukaryota; Fungi; Ascomycota; Sordariomycetes; Hypocreales; Hypocreaceae. RNAcentral also lists the same sequence under 1 other name. The record is from RNAcentral.
AACGCACAUUGCGCCCGCCAGUAUUCUGGCGGGCAUGCCUGUCCGAGCGUCAUUUCAACACUCGAGCCCCCCCGGGGGCUCGGCGUUGGGGAUCGGCAGCCCCCCGGCCCUCCUUGCGAGGGGCGGGGAGCCGUCCCCGAAAUCCAGUGGCGGUCUCGCCGCAGCCUCCCCUGCGCAGUAGCUUGCACACUCGCACCGGGAGCGCGGCGCGGCCACGCCGUAAAACACACCAAACUUCUGAAAUGUUGACCUCGGAUCAGGUAGGAAUACCCGCUGAACUUAA